UAGCUAGUUGGUGAGGUAAAGGCUUACCAAGGCGACGAUCUGUAGCGGGUCUGAGAGGAUGAUCCGCCACACUGGAACUGAGACACGGUCCAGACUCCUACGGGAGGCAGCAGUGGGGAAUUUUGGACAAUGGGGGCAACCCUGAUCCAGCCAUGCCGCGUGAGUGAAGAAGGCCUUCGGGUUGUAAAGCUCUUUCGGCCGGGGAGAAAUCGCAUGGGCCAAUACCCUGUGUGGAUGACGGUACCGGAAUAAGAAGCACCGGCUAACUACGUGCCAGCAGCCGCGGUAUACGUAGGGUGCGAGCGUUAAUCGGAAUUACUGGGCGUAAAGCGUGCGCAGGCGGUUUUGUAAGACAGGCGUGAAAUCCCCGGGCUUAACCUGGGAACUGCGUUUGUGACUGCAAGGCUAGAGUACGGCAGAGGGGGGUGGAAUUCCACGUGUAGCAGUGAAAUGCGUAGAGAUGUGGAGGAACACCAAUGGCGAAGGCAGCCCCCUGGGUCGAUACUGACGCUCAUGCACGAAAGCGUGGGUAGCAAACAGGAUUAGAUACCCUGGUAGUCCACGCCCUAAACUAUGUCAACUAGGUGUUGGGUGGGUAAAACCAUUUAGUACCGUAGCUAACGCGUGAAGUUGACCGCCUGGGGAGUACGGCCGCAAGGUUAAAACUCAAAGGAAUUGACGGGGACCCGCACAAGCGGUGGAUGAUGUGGAUUAAUUCGAUGCAACGCGAAAAACCUUACCUACCCUUGACAUGCCAGGAACUUGCCAGAGAUGGCUUGGUGCCCGAAAGGGAGCCUGGACACAGGUGCUGCAUGGCUGUCGUCAGCUCGUGUCGUGAGAUGUUGGGUUAAGUCCCGCAACGAGCGCAACCCAUGUCGUUAAUUGCCAUCAUUUAGUUGGGCACUUUAACGAGACUGCCGGUGACAAACCGGAGGAAGGUGGGGAUGACGUCAAGUCCUCAUGGCCCUUAUGGGUAGGGCUUCACACGUCAUACAAUGGUCGGUACAAAGGGUUGCCAAGCCGCGAGGCGGAGCCAAUCCCAGAAAGCCGAUCGUAGUCCGGAUUGCAGGCUGCAACUCGCCUGCAUGAAGUCGGAAUCGCUAGUAAUCGUGGAUCAGCAUGUCACGGUGAACACGUUCCCGGGUCUUGUACACACCGCCCGUCACACCAUGGGAGCGGGUUCCGCCAGAAGUAGGUAGCCUAACCGCAAGGGGGGCGCUUACCACGGCGGGGUUCGUGACUGGGGUGAGGUCGUAACAAGGUAGCCGUAGGGGAACCUGCGGCUG
This 1286-nucleotide ribosomal RNA is filed under the name metagenome. Its description in RNAcentral is "bacterial SSU rRNA". It matches the Rfam family "Bacterial small subunit ribosomal RNA", at positions 242 to 1520 of the family's 1533-position model. The record is from RNAcentral.